RNAcentral lists this long non-coding RNA (7229 nucleotides) under Lactuca sativa (garden lettuce). Its description in RNAcentral is "long non-coding RNA (LSAT_LNC002356)". Lineage: Eukaryota; Viridiplantae; Streptophyta; Magnoliopsida; Asterales; Asteraceae. The record is from RNAcentral.
UAUGUUGUGUGUGUGUGUGUGUAUAUAUAUAUAUAUAUAUAUAUAUAUAUAUAUAUUAUCUACAUAUAUGUUGGGUAGAACAUGGGUAGAUAGCGAUGUGUGAUGAAAUAAAAAUAACGAGAGGCCUCGAUGUGAUUGUGAUCUAGUCAUUCAGCAGAAUAUGGAUGACGACCGUGGACUCUUUCAAGACUGUCUUGUGGAACGCUGGCAGACUCAUAACCUGUAGGUGUAAUGAACUUGGGUGUUCAUUUUGUUGGAUAAGGUGUCUAAGUCCAUAACUUAUUUGGUAUAUACUUGACCCGACCCGGCAUGGUCCAUUUGGGUUGCAUCUCACCCGAACUAUUUAUGGAUAAUUUUAUGAGAGUUAUACACAUAUGUUUAUUAAUAUAUUAUAAGUUAUAAUAUAUUAAUAUGAAGUUAUGUUAUUUAAUUAGUCUUAGUCUUAAAUUAAUUAUGAAUUAAUUUAGAGAUUAAAAGGAAGACUAAUUAGAUUAUGGGCUAUUGGUUUUAUAUGGUGUGGGCUAACACUCAUUUGUUAAUGGGCUAGGCUUAUAUGGAAGUCCAUGGAUGAUCCAUGGAGCUUUUAACCCAUGGAUCCUUGGAAAAGGAAAGGUCAUGGGUUAUUAGGGUUUCACCCUAACCAUGCACACUAUAUAAGCAUGCUUAUGGAGCAUGAAAUGGCAACUAGUGAACUAGUGUGUGUGUGCUUGUGUGUGGCCAAAAAUACAAGUGUGUAUACUCUCUCAAAGUUUUCCAAGAGUUUGUGGUGUUUUGUGAUUCCAUUUGAGGCAUUCACACUAUUGGUGCUUGGCCCUCAAACUCCUUAAGAACCAAACUCAUCAAAAAGGUAUGUAAUCUCUUCUAACUCUUUUAUGUUGAAAUGUUCCCCAUGCCAUGUUAGAUAGGUUAUGAACCUUGGAAAAUUAUUAUUUUGCAUGUAUUUAGACAAACAUAGAUCCAAGGUUUAUUAGGGUUGCAUGCACACUUAGGAAGUGUUAGAUUGCUCAAAACCCAACAGUGGUAUCAGAGCCUAGGCUUGCUUGUUUGAUACUUGAUGCAAAAUAGUGAAAAAAGUUGAAAUUGUUGCUGUCUGGCUGAUGGACUCGCCGAGUCCAUGGGGGGACUCGCCGAGUUCAAGGCAAAAUUCAUCCUACUCGGCGAGUAGGUUCGUGCACUCGGCGAGUAGAAUGAUCAGAAUGCAGAAUUUCGACUUUUGCUGCUGGAAAUGGACUAGAAACAUUACCCUAAACUGUUUUGGUGUUUUAAAACUUGUUUUAGUUGGUGUAAUGGUUGUUCUAAUCCAUUUACAAUAGCAUAUAUCAAAAUUCCAUGAUUUUUAUGUGUUCAUAUAAUUCUUGAAAUUUUGAUGAUCAUGUUCAUGUUCUUAUGAAUUUAGAAGAUGAUAGGAAUUAUUUGCUGAAUUGUUUAGAAUUAAUUCUUGAUCAUUUAUGUGUUUUAAUGGAGUCCAUAAUUUGUCCUCAAGUUAUGGAUAUCCAAAGGUCACUUUUCUUUAACACACACAUUUAAACACAUAAGUUACAUGAAAAUGAAGAGUCUUCAUUUUUAUGAACCUUUAAUUCAUAAGUUAUGAAAUGAAAAGUUUUGGAUAGUUACAAAACUUGCCCUCAAGUUUUGGAAUUUGAAAAGUUUCACACACUUUAAUAAACUUUAAUUCCAACACUUAGAGUUUUAAAAGUUAAAAUUCAACACUUAUACUAUUUAUAACAUUAAUGGUUAAUUAUUAUAUAUAUGUAUAAGAACAAGUCGUUUUACCGUUAGUAGGCCUCAUUCACGAAGCCGGUCUAUAAGGUGGGUAUAAGGUUGUUGCCUAUAAAAUGGCGACUUAAUGGGUGUCCACUCUCACCCACCGCUUGCUUGAUCGGUGGAGGGUCGUUAGCCGAACGGGUAGGACAAUGACUUUAAAUUCUCAUUAAAAGUAUAAUGAUUAUUAUAAAGUAACUAAAAAUUUUUUAUUUAAUUCCCAAUCUUAGUUACUUUAGGAAAAAUGUGAAUUUGGUGCUAGCCCAUGGAAUUCACACUUUGUACCUUACCAAGUCGUUGGUGGAGCGUGUGUGGUUAACCGGCACACUAACUUGGACUAGUAAGGAUCACGAAGGGUGACUUAAUGUUUGUCAUAGAUCAAUGGAGCGUGUGUGGUUAACCGGCACAUUGAUUAGGUGAUAAUAUUAAGGGUACCAAGUGAAUUGGUAUGGUUAUUCACACCUUGUUUUGUGAUCCUCGGCAUCCCAGUCACAAAAUUUGAGAGGGCACACUCGAGAUUGAAACAUGCCAUUGAAAAGUUCAAUGAAUCUCAAAAGAUCUAGGAAUUUCAAAUCCAAUUAAAACCUAAUAAAUUAUUUCGUUUUUCAUGGUGGAAAUUGGUGAAUCGUCAUUCGCCUACCUUCAAAUAUUUUAUAGCUUGGAUUACGGCAUCCCUCUUCCAAAUUAUAAAAUAUUGUGUUGGGUCCUAGCCUUAAUAUUUCAUAUUGGGUGUUAUAUUAAGGACUUUGAAUCAACUAACUUGAUUUUCUCCCAUUAUAGAUGUCUGGUUCAGACAACUAUGAUCUUCCCAAAUCUCUUGAAGAUGGUGUCCCUCAACAUCAUGCUUCACUUCCUCCACCUCCUCCAAUUAUUCUCCCUCACCCACAAGUUCUUGAAAAGUUUAAAGUCACUCAAUCCCUAUUGGCAAGCAUAGUCUAUGUGUGCUCACAUCUUGGAGAUAAAGUCACAUAUUGACAAGCCGGGAGAGUUGGGUGUCAAAGUCUCGUGAAAGUUGGAUGUUCAAUCACUUUCUUAGUAACAUAGUGAGUCUCUUUGGGACUACUAUGAGACAGACUAUGACAUGACCCUUAAUGAUGUUAUCUAUUUGCUUGGUGUUGUGGAAUCAGCAAUGAUUUGGAACACCAGUAAAGCAAAUUUGAUUAAAAGAACAACUUCCCAAGUCUUAAAUGGACAUUGACAAUGGUAGCAUUGGAUAUCUAGAAAAGGAUUUCUCUUCCCAAUGGAAAGGGAUCGGCCAUAGUCAACUCGGUUGACCAAAUGGUAAAGAGAAAGGCUAAGUCUGAGAUAGUCUCAUGUGCCAUUACCAAAGGGUCCAUGUGUUUUGUUGCCAAAGGAAGGGGCAUUGGUUGCGAAGCUGCCCUAUUCACCUGAAAGGUCAUAAGGUUGAUCAAGUCAAGAGGUUUGACUCUACUUCGGGUAAAGUCCACUGUCUAACUCUAUUAAGUUCCUAUUUGGAGAUUCUUAUUACAUAAUGUGAAUGGGUCACAUGCUGAUGUUUUUAAGAAUCAAAGAAAAGAUAGGAAGCUUAAAGUAAGUAUAUGUUGAUUCUGAUUGCGAAGGUGGGUUUCGAUCGCAUGGUUCGGUAAUCAGAAUUUUGAGCUGUUGCUUAAGAGUUAUAAUAUAUUGCUUAUGAAUAGAUAACAACAAGGUUUUCAUGUGGAUUGUAAGGAUAAGUUUUUCCGCAAAGUUUUAAAAAAAAAAAAAAAAAGGGUUUUAAUUUUAUUUAUUUUAAAAAUAUCCUUACAAUGGCAUCUGUGGAAAAUUGUUGCUUAUAUGUUUCCAGUAAUAGCAAUAUUGGAAAGUGGAUUUGAUUCUUUCAUUUGUGGUAGUGUCUGAAUUUACCAAAUGAAGAAAGUUUUUCAUCACCCAAGUUUCAAUUGGACAGAAACUUGGAAUCAUACAAGUUGUAUUGUAUGAUGAAUGAGAAUUUUCAUCUUUGAAAAUUAAGACUAAUUCUUUGAUCACAUGUAUAUGUGAGUCAAUUGAAGGACUAAGGAAUUAGGUACACUGGGUGUGCGCUGGUCAAGGUCCACCACAAAGAUUGAUUUGUCAUGAUUUACUAAAGAUUAGUAAAUAUGAUUAUACUUAUGAGGUUAAGUAUAAUUCUGUAACAUUGGAAAGGUUACAAUGUAUGACAAAACAAAUGAGAAGAAUCAAAUUAGGCAGAAAGAUAAAAGUUUCUCAAAUCUGAAAGGAUGGGAGAGUACUUUAGUAUCGUAUUUCAUGAUCAUCUUAAUGAUUAUGAAACCAUAUCACAAAUUCAUACUCUAAGGACGUCUUAGUGCAUUGUUAUGGCUAAGAAGAGAGGUCAUGAAUUGUUGGAUUGGUUAAAAUCAAGAAGAUGAGUCAUACUUCGUUCCAAAACAAUUCUUAGAGUCAUACUCCAAGAUUGUAACUUUGAGUGACAUAAAGGAAGAUUUAUUAACACUAGUCAAAUGUAAGAGUAAAAUGUUUUCUACUCUUGUACAUUUGAGAUUGGUAAGUUGUGAUGUCUUGGAUGAGACAAAGACCAACUAAGACCAAUUGUGUGAAGUGUUAGUCUUGAUAAGAAUCCGCACUAUCCCUUGAAUAUUUGUUUUGUCAAGGAAUGGUUCUUGACUGGGGAAACUUAUAUGUCAAGGGGACAGUGGGAGCCUUAAAGAUCCUGAAAGAGUUUCAAGAUUUAAUCAAGAGUAAAACCUGUAAUUUAUCACUAGCACACGACUUAAGGUUUGCAACCUAUCGUGUUGACAUAAUUCUUAUUUCUGUACCUACUUCAAAUAAGUUGAAUUUGCAUGUGAGUUAUCAGAGUUCAACUUGGAAGCAUUGGUGGGCCUUGUGCUACCAAGGUGACAAGAAACUAAGAUUGAACAAGUUUAAUCCAUGUAAGGCUGAAUUUGUCACUAACCUUAUCUUGUGAUUAUGGUUUUGACAAAUUCACAUGGAUAGGAACUCAUACACUAUAAAAUCUAAGUGUCAUAAGGUUUCUCUCCGAUUCAUGAAAAUGAUGGUGAGGAAACGCUUUCACUAAGUAGAUUUUACGUAGAUAUCAAUUGUGUUAUUUGCAUUUUCAAAAGUCGUUAGUGGAGCGCGUGUGGUUAACCGGCACACUAACAUGGACUUGUGAGAAAUGGCAAAUGCCUAAGCAAUUGAGACUAUGAUUACGGCAUCCCUUUUCAUAGUUCUGAAAAUUGUUUAGACACACAUGUGAGCUAUCUAAGAAAGGGUGUAUGAAUCUAAAUUUCAGAAGUCCAGCAGAUUUCUGGAAAUAUGUCAGAGCUAGUGGGAGCAUAAGUGUUAUGCUGAUAAUCAUCAUGUUAGUGGGAGCAUGAUUAUUACGUUUAGUGUUGCAAGUUAGCAAUGUUAAUUAUAGAAAACAAAGUUUCAAUUCGUGAAGUUGCAGGGGUUGAAAAGUUGUUUUGCUAUAAUUAAGGGAGAGGAAAUUAUACUUCAUUUCAAUUCUAAAGCUUAGAUUGAGAUUUUAAUCAUCUUUAGUCAAGAAUAUAUAUAUGAAUUUUAUGUUGGAAUGGUUCAACUUGAAGAAAUUCUAUAUAUAUUGCGUUUUCAAAAUUCGAUUAUGAUUACGGCAUCCCUCUUCAUAGUUAAAUUUUGAAAACAUGGCAAAUAAAAAAUAUUGUAGCAAAAGACUGGUCUAGUAUCAUGUCUUUAUGUCAAACAUCAUGAAUCGUGUCCCAUAUGCUUCGGAUAUAGGAUCGAUUGCAUGUGCUAUAAUAUUCAUCUUUUCUAAAUUUUCCAAAUGCUUAAGGCAUUGAGAAGGGAAAAGUCUAGAACUGGAUAUGACUAAAGUGAUUAAGCAAUUGUCGAGGACAAUCUGAGGUUCGCCAAAGAUUGGUUGCUCAGGGAAAGUUGGAAGUAUGAUGUAAGUUGUCGGAAAGGACCAUAUUGACAUAUUCUGAAAAGAAGUAACUCUUGUUCGGAAGUGAUAGUCAAAAUGGGACUAUGGAAAUGUCUCCAUAGGUGGAAGUUAUUCAAUCUAUGUAAGAUUAGAAAACCUUAAUGCAAGAAGGAUGUUCAAAGCAAUGUACUUUGAAUAUGAGACUUCCGUUCCAUAGAAGUUGACCUUCUUUGGAAUACUCUGUAAUGACUGGUGACAAGGUUUUGGUGACUUUGUGCAUAAUCAUUACAAGAGGAACAUUGCAUAAAAGUUUAAAAUCUAACAGUUUUUUUGGUAAAUGAUAGGAAUCGGGGAUUCUCACAUUUACAAUAAGGAUUUGGGAUUGUGAAAUGAGUAUCAUUGGAAUCAUGUUCAAUUGAUCUACAUCACAAUGUAAGGAUCAUAGACAAACAUAGUGUGCAUACUUGGAGUAUGGCAUAACUAUUGUUUAGAAAAACAAAGUGUACAUGCUAGGAGCAUGGGACGACUGUUGUUUUUAUUCAAGUCUUAAGUUGAUUGUUUGAAACAUUAUACAAUGAAUAAUGUGUAAUCAAUAUGGUGAUAAAUAAAAGGUGGUUCUAUUUAUAUUCAAAAGGGUUCUGAGACCAUAUUGGAUUCGAUUAUUAUUGUGUUUCACUUUGCAUGUUUUGACUUCCAAAAUAGCUAGGUUAUUCUUUCCGAAUGACUAAGUUAUUUAAACACUCCACAGUCGUUCAUAUGUUGGAAGUAGGUAUGAAUCAAGACUGUCAUGAAUCGAGUUUGUAGAUGGCUAAAUGGGUUUAGUCAUAGCAAUGGUUGCUACAACAUUCAUGAGUGCUCAUAAGUUAUGAGUAUUGGAAUAAACCCACGCUCACUUGUAUCACUUCAUGGAAUUUAUCUCGAGUGAUCGUGAGACGGUAAUAUCAUAUAAAUCUUCAAACCUAGAGAUAUGAGUUGUUACCUAUGAGUUGGUUGUGCAUUGAUUGCACGUAAACGCAUCAGUAACUUGAUGUUAUAAAACGUGCCUUUGUGUACAAUUCAACAAGUAGUAGAACAAGCAUAUGAGUCGAAGUUUAUCUGUUCCUUCUAGAAAUAGAAGCGAUAUCUGGGCCCCUCGAUGAUUUUGUUGUGACCUAUGUACCGGCCGGUCAGAACUAAAUUGAUGUGUUCGAUUAAGUUCUUUGUCAAACAAAUCGAAAAUCGGGAAACAAACUGCUGGACAAUAAGUACGACGUUGUUCCAUGUAUUUGUCCGGCUGAUAUCAUGAGAACAGAGGAUUAUAUGAUCACUUAUCUAAAAUGGCGCUUCAUAGUUCAACAGAGUUUUCGAGAGCUACGAUUGCUGGUUGGUUCCUGAAGUAACAUACGCAAAUAUAGUUAUUAGACUUAUCCAAGUGGGAGUCUGUUGGAUAAGGUGUCUAAGUCCAUAACUUAUUUGGUAUAUACUUGACCCGACCCGGCAUGGUCCAUUUGGGUUGCAUUUCACCCAAACUAUUUAUGGAUAAUUUUAUGAGAGUUAUACACAUAUGUUUAUUAAUAUAUUAUAAGUUAUAAUAUAUUAAUAUGAAGUCAUGUUAUUUAAUUAGUCUUAGUCU